CUUCUUGAAUUUAUUUAGAAGUCGGGCCUGUCCACUGAGAUAUUAUUGAAGGGCCGCGGUAUUUUGACCGUGCAAAGGUAGCAUAAUCAUUAGUUUUUUAAUUAAGAACUGGAAUGAAUGGUUUGACGAAAUAAUUAUUGUCUCUAAUAUAAUUAAUUGAAUUUUACUUUUAAGUUAAAAGGCUUAAAUAUUAAUAAGGGACGAUAAGACCCUAUAGAUCUUUAUAAUGAUUUUAUUAUUACUGUUUUGGUUGAAUAUAAUAAUAUGUUUUAAUGAUUUUAUUAUUUGGUUGGGGUGAUGUGAGAAUAAAUAACUUCUUAAUUUUUAACUUAAAUAUAUGAAUAUAGAAUCCUGUAUGUAUGGAAAAUAGAUUAAGAUACCUUAGGGAUAACAGCGUAAUUUUAUUGGAAAGUUCUUAUUGAUAAUGGAGAUUGCGACCUCGAUGUUGGAUUAAGAAUAUAUGUUGGUGUAGGUGCUAAUGUUAUUGGUCUGUUC
This 495-nucleotide ribosomal RNA is filed under the name Cardiodactylus lucus. RNAcentral's name for it is "partial large subunit ribosomal RNA". It matches the Rfam family "Bacterial large subunit ribosomal RNA", at positions 1829 to 2582 of the family's 2925-position model. Lineage: Eukaryota; Metazoa; Arthropoda; Insecta; Orthoptera; Gryllidae. The record is from RNAcentral.